Molecule: long non-coding RNA, 844 nt
Organism: Lotus japonicus
Lineage: Eukaryota; Viridiplantae; Streptophyta; Magnoliopsida; Fabales; Fabaceae
Exons: 2
Source: RefSeq, a predicted model, not a curated record
UUUAGUCCCUCUUUCAAUUAAACCCAGAAGAUAAAAAAUAAAAUCAAUUUUAGAAAAUAAAAAAACUCCAGCCCUAAAUUAGUCUUCAUCAUCUCACCGUCUUCAUCAUCACAUCAACACCACACCAGAACCAACAUGAAUUAGCACCACCAUCUUCCUCCGUCGUCAAGCUCGAUCAUCCCACCAUCGCUUCCCCUCCAUCCAGAUCGCACCAGCACCGUAUCUCCCCUCCUCCUGGAUUAAACGCGCCGCCACCUUCAUCACCACGACCUUAAUCGCGCUCAGCCACCUCCUCUCUUCCCAAAUCAAUCCCCUUCAUCACCGAUCUGAAGCUUUUCUCUCCAAACACUGAAAACCCAACAGAUCGGGCGCGGUGCUCUGAUUUCAUUACAUUCGUUUCCUCUUCCUCUUCCUAUUCUGUUGAUGUUGCAGUGGAUGCUUUUGGUUCUUGUGUUUCCUUGCUUCAUGAAAUCGACUGGGAGGAAACAAUGAUCCUUCUGAAUCCAAGUGCUCUUUGAUCGAUGGCUAGGUGCGGGUUGUGCUUUGACUGCCGCUGGGGAAUUUAAGAUGGAAGGCAGGAUGAUAGUAAGGGUGGGAUUUUGUUUUCUUUUCUUUCUUCUUGAAUGUUCUAUUUCUUGCAUUGCUUUGUCUUUGCCUUCUUUCAUUUCUUGUAAUUGGCACCAUCUAAUUGCUUAUGAAAAAAAAGAUGGGGGCUUAAUUUUUUGCGUUUUGCUUAUUGUUUCUGGAUUUGAGAGUUUAAUUUUCCAGGUUUUUGUUCUUGUUCUUGAGUUUGGGAAACCAUAUUUAAUCCAAUUGUGAAUCUUACAUUGUGACUAGUUUGCCA